RNAcentral lists this long non-coding RNA (9512 nucleotides) under Citrus x clementina. Its description in RNAcentral is "Citrus clementina (C. clementina) long non-coding RNA (CCLE_LNC004768)". Lineage: Eukaryota; Viridiplantae; Streptophyta; Magnoliopsida; Sapindales; Rutaceae. The record is from RNAcentral.
AAGUCUCAAAGCCUGUUUAUGGCGAGACCAGAUGCCAAGCGUGCCAGAAUCUGCUCGACCGCGCGAAGGCGAGCAGAAUCCCAAGCAUUGAAGAAUUUUCUAAGGCAUGCAAUGGCUCAUCAAGUCUCAAAGCCUGUUUAUGGCGACACCAGAUGCCAAGCGUGCCAGGAUCUGCUCGACCGCGCGAAGGCGAGCAGAAUCCCAAGCAUUGAAGAAUUUUCUAAGGCAUGCAAAGGCUCACCAAGUCUCAAAGCCUGUUUAUGGCGAGACCAGAAGCCAAGCGUGCCAGGAUCUGCUCGACCGCGCGAAGGCGAGCAGAAUCCCAAGCAUUGAAGAAUUUUCUAAGGCAUGCAAAGGCUCAUCAAGUCUCAAAGCCUGUUUAUGGCGAGACCAGAAGCCAAGCGUGCCAGGAUCCGCUCGACCGCGCGAAGGCGAGCAGAAUCCCAAGCAUUGAAGAAUUUUCUAAGGCAUGCAAAGCCUCAUCAAGUCUCAAAGCCUGUUUAUGGCGAGACCAGAUGCCAAGCGUGCCAGAAUCUGCUCGACCGCGCGAAGGCGAGCAGAAUCCCAAGCAUUGAAGAAUUUUCUAAGGCAUGCAAAGGCUCACGAAGUCUCGAAGCCUGUUUAUGGCGAGACCAGAAGCCAAGCGUGCCAGGAUCUGCUCGACCACGCGAAGGCGAGCAGAAUCCCAAGCAUUGAAGAAUUUUCUAAGGCAUGCAAAGGCUCAUCAAGUCUCAAAGCCUGUUUAUGGCGAGACCAGAUGCCAAGCGUGCCAGAAUCUGCUCGACCGCGCGAAGGCGAGCAGAAUCCCAAGCAUUGAAGAAUUUUCUAAGGCAUGCAAAGGCUCAUCAAGUCUCAAAGCCUGUUUAUGGCGAGACCAGAAGCCAAGCGUGCCAGGAUCCGCUCGACCGCGCGAAGGCGAGCUGAAUCCCAAGCAUUGAAGAAGUUUCUAAGGCAUGCAAAGGCUCAUCAAGUCUCAAAGCCUGUUUAUGGCGAGACCAGAAGCCAAGCGUGCCAGAAUCUGCUCGACCGCGCGAAGGCGAGCAGAAUCCCAAGCAUUGAAGAAUUUUCUACGUCAUGCAAAGGCUCACAAAGUCUCAAAGCCUGUUUAUGGCGAGACCAGAAGCCAAGCGUGCCAGGAUCUGCUCGACCGCGCGAAGGCAAGCUGAAAUCCCAGCAUUGAAGAAGUUUCUAAGGCAUGCAAAGGCUCACGAAGUCUCGAAGCCUGUUUAUGGCGAGACCAGAAGCCAAGCGUGCCAGGAUCUGCUCGACCACGCGAAGGCGAGCAGAAUCCCAAGCAUUGAAGAAUUUUCUAAGGCAUGCAAAGGCUCAUCAAGUCUCAAAGCCUGUUUAUGGCGAGACCAGAUGCCAAGCGUGCCAGAAUCUGCUCGACCGCGCGAAGGCGAGCAGAAUCCCAAGCAUUGAAGAAUUUUCUAAGGCAUGCAAAGGCUCAUCAAGUUUCAAAGCCUGUUUAUGGCGACACCAGAUGCCAAGAGUGCCAGGAUCUGCUCGACCGCGCGAAGGCGAGCUGAAUCCCAAGCAUUGAAGAAUUUUCUAAGGCAUGCAAAGGCUCACGAAGUCUCAAAGCCUGUUUAUGGCGAGACCAAAAGCCAAACGUGCCAGGAUCUGCUCGACCGCGCGAAGGCGAGCAGAAUACCAAGCAUUGAAGAAUUUCCUAAGGGAUGCAAAGGCUCAUCAAGUGUCAAAGCCUGUUUAUGGCCAGACCAGAUACCAAGGGUGCCAGAAUCUGCUCGACCGCGCGAAGGCGAGCAGGAUCCCAAGCAUUGAAGAAUUUUCUAAGGCAUGCAAUGGCUCAUCAAGUUUCAAAGCCUGUUUAUGGCGACACCAGAUGCCAAGCGUGCCAGGAUCUGCUCGACCGCGCGAGGGCGAGCAGAAUCCCAAGCAUUGAAGAAUUUUCUACGUCAUGCAAAGGCUCACAAAGUCUCAAAGCCUGUUUAUGGCGAGACCAGAAGCCAAGCGUGCCAGGAUCUGCUCGACCGCACGAAGGCGAGCAGAAUCCCAAGCAUUGAAGAAUUUUCUAAGGCAUGCAAAGGCUCAUCAAGUCUCAAUGCCUGUUUAUGGCGAGACCAGAUGCCAAGCGGGCCAGAAUCUGCUCGACCGCGCGAAGGCGAGCAGAAUCCCAAGCAUUGAAGAAUUUUCUAAGGCAUGCAAAGGCUCACGAAGUCUCAAAGCCUGUUUAUGGCGAGACCAGAUGCCAAGCGUGCCAGAAUCUGCUCGACCGCGCGAAGGCGAGCAGAAUCCCAAGCAUUGAAGAAUUUUCUAAGGCAUGCAAUGGCUCAUCAAGUUUCAAAGCCUUUUUAUGGCGACACCAGAUGCCAAGCGUGCCAGAAUCUGCUCGACCGCGCGAAGGCGAGCAGAAUCCCAAGCAUUGAAGAAUUUUCUAAGGCAUGCAAUGGCUCAUCAAGUUUCAAAGCCUUUUUAUGGCGACACCAGAUGCCAAGCGUGCCAGGAUCUGCUCGACCGCGCGAAGGCGAGCAGAAUCCCAAGCAUUGAAGAAUUUUCUACGUCAUGCAAAGGCUCACAAAGUCUCAAAGCCUUUUUAUGGCGAGACCAGAAGCCAAGCGUGCCAGGAUCUACUCGACCGCGCGAGGCGAGCAGAAUUCCCAAGCAUGAAGAAUUUAUAAGGCAUGCAAAGGCUCAUCAAGUCUCAAAGCCUGUUAUGGCGAGACCAGAUGCCAAGGGUGCCAGAAUCUGCUCGACCGCGCGAAGGCGAGCAGAAUCCCAAGCAUUGAAGAAUUUUCUAAGGCAUGCAAAGGCUCACGAAGUCUCGAAGCCUGUUUAUGGCGAGACCAGAAGCCAAGCGUGCCAGGAUCUGCUCGACCACGCGAAGGCGAGCAGAAUCCCAAGCAUUGAAGAAUUUUCUAAGGCAUGAAAAGGCUCAUCAAGUCUCAAAGCCUGUUUAUGGCGAGACCAGAUGCCAAGCGUGCCAGAAUCUGCUCGUCCGCGCGAAGGCGAGCCGAAUCCCAAGCAUUGAAGAAUUUUCUAAGGUAUGCAAAGGCUCAUCAAGUUUCAAAGCCUGUUUAUGGCGACACCGGAUGCCAAGCGUGCCAGGAUCUGCUCGACCGCGCGAAGGCGAGCAGAAUCCCAAGCAUUGAAGAAUUUUCUAAGGCAUGCAAAGGCUCACGAAGUCUCAAAGCCUGUUUAUGGCGAGACCAGAAGCCAAGCGUGCCAGGAUCUGCUCGACCGCGCGAAGGCGAGCAGAAUCCCAAGCAUUGAAGAAUUUUCUAAGGCAUGCAACGGCUCACUAAAUCUCAAAGCCUGUUUAUGGGGAGACCAAAAGCCAAGCGUGCCAGGAUCUGCUCGACCGCGCGAAGGCGAGCAGAAUCCCAAGCAUUGAAGAAUUUUCUAAGGCAAGCGAAUGCUCACGAAGUCUCGACGCCUGUUUAUGGCGAGACCAGAAGCCAAGCGUGCCAGGAUCUGCUCGACCACGCGAAGGCGAGCAGAAUCCCAAGCAUUGAGGAAUUUUCUAAGGCAUGCAAAGGCUCAUCAAGUUUCAAAGCCUGUUUCUGGCUAGACCAGAUGCCAAGCGUGGCAGAAUCUGCUCGACCGCGCGAAGGCGAGCAGAAUCCCAAGCAUUGAAGAAUUUUCUAAGGCAUGCAAAGGCUCAUCAAGUCUCAAUGCCUGUUUAUGGCGAGACCAGAUGCCAAGCGUGCCAGAAUCUGCUCGACCGCAAGAAGGCGAGCAGAAUCCCAAGCAUUGAAGAAUUUUCUAAGGCAUGCAAAGGCUCAUCAAGUCUCAAUGCCUGUUUAUGGCGAGACCAGAUGCCAAGCGUGCCAGAAUCUGCUCGACCGCAAGAAGGCGAGCAGAAUCCCAAGCAUUGAAGAAUUUUCUAAGGCAUGCAAUGGCUCAUAGAGUUUCAAAGCCUGUUUAUGGCGACACCAGAUGCCAAGCGUGCCAGGAUCUGCUCGACCGCGCGAAGGCGAGCAGAAUCCCAAGCAUUGAAGAAUUUUCUAAGGCAUGCAAAGGCUCAUCAAGUCUCAAAGCCUGUUUAUGGCGAGACCAGAUGCCAAGCGUGCCAGAAUCUGCUCGACCGCGCGAAGGCGAGCAGAAUCCCAAGCAUUGAAGAAUUUUCUACGUCAUGCAAAGGCUCACAAAGUCUCAAAGCCUUUUUAUGGCGAGACCAGAAGCCAAGCGUGCCAGGAUCUACUCGACCGCACGAAGGCGAGCAGAAUCCCAAGCAUUGAAGAAUUUUCUAAGGCAUGCAAAGGCUCAUCAAGUCUCAAAGCCUGUUUAUGGCGAGACCAGAUGCCAAGCGUGCCAGAAUCUGCUCGACCGCAAGAAGGCGAGCAGAAUCCCAAGCAUUGAAGAAUUUUCUAAGGCAUGCAAUGGCUUAUAGAGUUUCAAAGCCUGUUUAUGGCGACACCAGAUGCCAAGCGUGCCAGGAUCUGCUCGACCGCGCGAAGGCGAGCAGAAUCCCAAGCAUUGAAGAAUUUUCUAAGGCAUGCAAAGGCUCAUCAAGUCUCAAAGCCUGUUUAUGGCGAGACCAGAUGCCAAGCGUGCCAGAAUCUGCUCGACCGCGCGAAGGCGAGCAGAAUCCCAAGCAUUGAAGAAUUUUCUAAGGCAUGCAAAGGCUCAUCAAGUCUCAAAGCCUGUUUAUGGCGAGACCAGAAGCCAAGCGUGCCAGGAUCUGCUCGACCACGCGAAGGCGAGCAGAAUCCCAAGCAUGAAGGAAUUUUUAAGGGCAUGCAAAGGCUCAUCAAGUUUUCAAAGCCUGUUUCUGGCUAGACCAGAUGCCAAGCGUGGCAGAAUCUGCUCGACCGCGCGAAGGCGAGCAGAAUCCCAAGCAUUGAAGAAUUUUGUAAGGCAUGCAAAGGCUCAUCAAGUCUCAAUGCCUGUUUAUGGCGAGACCAGAUGCCAAGCGGGCCAGAAUCUGCUCGACCGCGCGAAGGCGAGCAGAAUCCCAAGCAUUGAAGAAUUUUCUAAGGCAUGCAAAGGCUCACGAAGUCUCAAAGCCUGUUUAUGGCGAGACCAGAAGCCAAGCGUGCCAGGAUCUGCUCGACCACGCGAAGGCGAGCAGAAUCCCAAGCAUUGAGGAAUUUUCUAAGGCAUGCAAAGGCUCAUCAAGUUUCAAAGCCUGUUUCUGGCUAGACCAGAUGCCAAGCGUGGCAGAAUCUGCUCGACCGCGCGAAGGCGAGCAGAAUCCCAAGCAUUGAAGAAUUUUCUAAGACAUGCAAAUGCUCACCAAGUCUCAAAGCCUGUUUAUGGCGACACCAGAUGCCAAGAGUGCCAGGAUCUGCUCGACCGCGCGAAGGCGAGCUGAAUCCCAAGCAUUGAAGAAUUUUCUAAGGCAUGCAAAGGCUCACGAAGUCUCAAAGCCUGUUUAUGGCGAGACCAAAAGCCAAACGUGCCAGGAUCUGCUCGACCGCGCGAAGGCGAGCAGAAUACCAAGCAUUGAAGAAUUUCCUAAGGGAUGCAAAGGCUCAUCAAGUGUCAAAGCCUGUUUAUGGCCAGACCAGAUACCAAGGGUGCCAGAAUCUGCUCGACCGCGCGAAGGCGAGCAGGAUCCCAAGCAUUGAAGAAUUUUCUAAGGCAUGCAAUGGCUCAUCAAGUUUCAAAGCCUGUUUAUGGCGACACCAGAUGCCAAGCGUGCCAGGAUCUGCUCGACCGCGCGAGGGCGAGCAGAAUCCCAAGCAUUGAAGAAUUUUCUACGUCAUGCAAAGGCUCACAAAGUCUCAAAGCCUGUUUAUGGCGAGACCAGAAGCCAAGCGUGCCAGGAUCUGCUCGACCGCACGAAGGCGAGCAGAAUCCCAAGCAUUGAAGAAUUUUCUAAGGCAUGCAAAGGCUCAUCAAGUCUCAAAGCCUGUUUAUGGCGAGACCAGAUGCCAAGCGUGCCAGAAUCUGCUCGACCGCGCGAAGGCGAGCAGAAUCCCAAGCAUUGAAGAAUUUUCUAAGGCAUGCAAAGGCUCACGAAGUCUCGAAGCCUGUUUAUGGCGAGACCAGAAGCCAAGCGUGCCAGGAUCUGCUCGACCGCGCGAAGGCGAGCAGAAUCCCAAGCAUUGAAGAAUUUUCUAAGGCAUGCAAAGGCUCAUCAAGUCUCAAAGCCUGUUUAUGGCGAGACCAGAUGCCAAGCGUGCCAGAAUCUGCUCGACCGCGCGAAGGCGAGCCGAAUCCCAAGCAUUGAAGAAUUUUCUAAGGUAUGCAAAGGCUCAUCAAGUUUCAAAGCCUGUUUAUGGCGACACCGGAUGCCAAGCGUGCCAGGAUCUGCUCGACCGCGCGAAGGCGAGCAGAAUCCCAAGCAUUGAAGAAUUUUCUAAGGCAUGCAAAGGCUCACGAAGUCUCAAAGCCUGUUUAUGGCGAGACCAGAAGCCAAGCGUGCCAGGAUCUGCUCGACCGCGCGAAGGCGAGCAGAAUCCCAAGCAUUGAAGAAUUUUCUAAGGCAUGCAACGGCUCACUAAAUCUCAAAGCCUGUUUAUGGCGAGACCAAAAGACAAGCGUGCCAGGAUCUGCUCGACCGCGCGAAGGCGAGCAGAAUCCCAAGCAUUGAAGAAUUUUCUAAGGCAAGCGAAUGCUCACGAAGUGUCGACGCCUGUUUAUGGCGAGACCAGAAGCCAAGCGUGCCAGGAUCUGCUCGACCACGCGAAGGCGAGCAGAAUCCCAAGCAUUGAGGAAUUUUCUAAGGCAUGCAAAGGCUCAUCAAGUUUCAAAGCCUGUUUCUGGCUAGACCAGAUGCCAAGCGUGGCAGAAUCUGCUCGACCGCGCGAAGGCGAGCAGAAUCCCAAGCAUUGAAGAAUUUCUAAGACAUGCAAAUGCUCACCAAGUCUCAAAGCCUGUUUAUGGCGAGACCAGAUGCCAAGCGUGCCAGAAUAUGCUCGACCGCGCGAAGGUGAGCAGAAUCCCAAGCAUUGAAGAAUUUUCUACGUCAUGCAAAGGCUCACAACGUCUCAAAGCCUGUUUAUGGCGAGACCAGAUGCCAAGCUUGCCAGGAUCUGCUCGACCGCACGAACGCGAGCAGAAUCCCAAGUAUUGAAGAAUUUUCUAAGGCAUGCAAAGGCUCAUCAAGUUUCAAAGCCUGUUUAUGGCGAGACCAGAUGCCAAGCGUACCAGGAUCUGCUCGACCGCGCGAAGGCGNNNNNNNNNNNNNNNNNNNNNNNNNNNNNNNNNNNNNNNNNNNNNNNNNNNNNNNNNNNNNNNNNNNNNNNNNNNNNNNNNNNNNNNNNNNNNNNNNNNNUCAAAGCCUGUUUAUGGCGAGACCAGAAGCCAAGCGUGCCAGGAUCUGCUCGACCCUGCGAAGGCGAGCAGAAUCCCAAGCAUUGAAGAAUUUUCUAAGGCAUGCAAUGGCUUAUCAAGUCUCAAAGCCUGUUUAUGGCGAGACCAGAUGCCAAGCGUGCCAGGAUCUGCUCGACAGUGCGAAGGCGAGCAGAAUCCCAAGCAUUGAAGAAUUUUCUAAGGCAUGCAAAGCCUCAUCAAGUCUCAAAGCCUGUUUAUGGCGAGACCAGAUGCCAAGCGUGCCAGAAUCUGCUCGACCGCGCGAAGGCGAGCAGAAUCCCAAGCAUUGAAGAAUUUUCUAAGGCAUGCAAAGGCUCACGAAGUCUCGAAGCCUGUUUAUGGCGAGACCAGAAGCCAAGCGUGCCAGGAUCUGCUCGACCACGCGAAGGCGAGCAGAAUCCCAAGCAUUGAAGAAUUUUCUAAGGCAUGCAAAGGCUCAUCAAGUCUCAAAGCCUGUUUAUGGCGAGACCAGNNNNNNNNNNNNNNNNNNNNNNNNNNNNNNNNNNNNNNNNNNNNNNNNNNNNNNNNNNNNNNNNNNNNNNNNNNNNNNNNNNNNNNNNNNNNNNNNNNNNCAAAGCCUGUUUAUGGCGAGACCAGAAGCCAAGCGUGCCAGGAUCCGCUCGACCGCGCGAAGGCGAGCUGAAUCCCAAGCAUUGAAGAAGUUUCUAAGGCAUGCAAAGGCUCAUCAAGUCUCAAAGCCUGUUUAUGGCGAGACCAGAAGCCAAGCGUGCCAGAAUCUGCUCGACCGCGCGAAGGCGAGCAGAAUCCCAAGCAUUGAAGAAUUUUCUACGUCAUGCAAAGGCUCACAAAGUCUCAAAGCCUGUUUAUGGCGAGACCAGAAGCCAAGCGUGCCAGGAUCUGCUCGACCGCGCGAAGGCAAGCUGAAUCCCAAGCAUUGAAGAAGUUUCUAAGGCAUGCAAAGGCUCAUCAAGUCUCAAAGCCUGUUUAUGGCGAGACCAGAAGCCAAGCGUGCCAGGAUCCGCUCGACCGCGCGAAGGCGAGCAGAAUACCAACCAUUGAAGAAUUUUCUAAGGCAUUCAAAGGCUCAUCAAGUUUCAAAGCCUGUUUAUGGCGACACCAGAUGCCAAGAGUGCCAGGUUCUGCUCGACCGCGCGAAGGCGAGCUGAAUCCCAAGCAUUGAAGAAUUUUCUAAGGCAUGCAAAGGCUCACAAAGUCUCAAAGCCUGUUUAUGGCGAGACCAGAAGCCAAGCGUGCCAGGAUCUGCUCGACCGCGCAAAGGCGAGCAGAAUCCCAAGCAUUGAAGAAUUUCCUAAGGGAUGCAAAGGCUCAUCAAGUGUCAAAGCCUGUUUAUGGCCAGACCAGAUACCAAGGGUGCCAGAAUCUGCUCGACCGCGCGAAGGCGAGCAGAAUCCCAAGCAUUGAAGAAUUUUCUAAGGCAUGCAAAGGCUCAUCAAGUCUCAAAGCCUGUUUAUGGCGAGACCAGAAGCCAAGCGUGCCAGGAUCCGCUCGACCGCGCGAAGGCGAGCAGAAUCCCAAGCAUUGAAGAAUUUUCUACGUCAUGCAAAGGCUCACAAAGUCUCAAAGCCUGUUUAUGGCGAGACUAGAAGCCAAGCGUGCCAGGAUCUGCUCGACCGGACGAAGGCGAGCAGAAUCCCAAGCAUUGAAGAAUUUUCUAAGGCAUGCAAAGGCUCAUCAAGUCUCAAUGCCUGUUUAUGGCGAGACCAGAUGCCAAGCGGGCCAGAAUCUGCUCGACCGCGCGAAGGCGAGCAGAAUCCCAAGCAUUGAAGAAUUUUCUAAGGCAUGCAAAGGCUCAUCAAGUCUCAAUGCCUGUUUAUGGCGAGACCAGAUGCCAAGCGGGCCAGAAUCUGCUCGACCGCGCGAAGGCGAGCAGAAUCCCAAGCAUUGAAGAAUUUUCUAAGGCAUGCAAAGGCUCACGAAGUCUCAAAGCCUGUUUAUGGCGAGACCAGAUGCCAAGCGUGCUAGAAUCUGCUCGACCGCGCGAAGGCGAGCAGAAUCCCAAGCAUUGAAGAAUUUUCUAAGGCAUGCAAUGGCUCAUCAAGUUUCAAAGCCUUUUUAUGGCGACACCAGAUGCCAAGCGUGCCAGGAUCUGCUCGACCGCGCGAGGGCGAGCAGAAUCCCAAGCAUUGAAGAAUUUUCUACGUCAUGCAAAGGCUCACAAAGUCUCAAAGCCUUUUUAUGGCGAGACCAGAAGCCAAGCGUGCCAGGAUCUACUCGACCGCACGAAGGCGAGCAGAAUCCCAAGCAUUGAAGAAUUUUCUAAGGCAUGCAAAGGCUCAUCAAGUCUCAAAGCCUGUUUAUGGCGAGAC